Cyprinus carpio carpio is the source of this 1043-nucleotide long non-coding RNA. The record is from Ensembl. NCBI's taxonomy places the organism in Eukaryota, Metazoa, Chordata, Actinopteri, Cypriniformes, Cyprinidae.
AUGCACCAAAAAACCUGUAUUUAUUGGAAACCUUCAGAAGUGGCACAAGGGGAAUUAUUUUUACCAGGCAUUAACACAGGCUGUGACAAGAGCACUUUGACAAAAUGGGGAGCUGUCAGUACCCACGUCACCAAUCACCACAAACAGCAAGGUCCUCCAGACGAGCGGGACAGCCAGACAGUCACUGGACCUCAGCUAGGAAAAGGACAGGAAGGCAGAGAGCCUCCCAAAGCUGAUCCAUAAUGCAGUCCUGCAGAGAGCUUUGCCCAGGCUUGCCUUUUGAAGAAGUUAUUGCUUUGAUGUAUGAGGGAACACAUGAAACAGUGAGGGGAGCGAGGAGUAAUUGCGUUGUGUCUACGGGGGGACAGUGUUUAGCCCACACAAUGACUUCAAUCUCUUAGCUUCUCAGCCAAAUGGACACUGAAUCAUACUCUAACUGUGACAGAGGUAUCUGGACAGAGUGAUUCCCUUUCACAGGCCAAAGUUUAAUCUCUAGAUUGAGAUGCGUAAUAAAACUGUCGAUUGUUUUGUUUCCCCUGCAAAUGAUGGCGGGAGUAUGGCGACUGUUUCUGAUGAGAUGGGUGAACGGGGGGCGUUCCUCCUGAUGGGGUAGUUCAGCGCAAGGUCAGGAUGCUUUGUGGUCCUCAUUUUUGGGUCAAAGCCUUUUCAUUUGAUGGCCUGUCCACCACGGAAGUGCUGAAUGUGACUUGAAUGUCAAUAGUUCCUAGUGGUGAGGACAGAAAAAAUAACUAUUCCACUAAACUGCACUUGAAGAACAUGAAUGGAAUAUUGACACUGUAAGAAAAAAAAAAUCCUUACAAAAACUGAAAAGUACUUGUAAUUUUCUACCAGGAUAUUAUCCAUUUAGUUUACAGACAUUUCAUUUAAUACUAAAACACAACACAAUGCAUAAUUCAAAAUAUGGAUAAAACACCUGUGAAAUUUCAAUAAAAAAAAAUAAAAUAAAAAAUCCUUCAUAUUAAUGCAGUACAUUGUGCCCUAUUUUUUUUUUUUUUACAGACUUUUCUUAGAGUGCUUUUUUU